GCCGACGUGGCUCAGUGGCAGAGCGUUCCCUUGGUAAGGGAAAGGUCAUGGGUUCGAUUCCCAUCGUCGGCU
RNAcentral lists this transfer RNA (72 nucleotides) under Candidatus Curtissbacteria bacterium RIFCSPHIGHO2_02_FULL_40_16b. RNAcentral describes it as "tRNA-Thr". It matches the Rfam family "tRNA". From Rfam's summary of the family: Transfer RNA (tRNA) molecules are approximately 80 nucleotides in length. Lineage: Bacteria; Candidatus Curtissiibacteriota. RNAcentral also lists the same sequence under 2 other names. The record is from RNAcentral.